RNAcentral lists this ribosomal RNA (490 nucleotides) under uncultured bacterium. RNAcentral's name for it is "partial 16S ribosomal RNA". It matches the Rfam family "Bacterial small subunit ribosomal RNA", at positions 29 to 505 of the family's 1533-position model. The record is from RNAcentral.
AGUGAACGCUGGCGGUAGGCCUAACACAUGCAAGUCGAACGGCAGCACAGUAAGAGCUUGCUCUUACGGGUGGCGAGUGGCGGACGGGUGAGGAAUACAUCGGAAUCUACUUUUUCGUGGGGGAUAACGUAGGGAAACUUACGCUAAUACCGCAUACGACCUACGGGUGAAAGCAGGGGAUCUUCGGACCUUGCGCGAUUGAAUGAGCCGAUGUCGGAUUAGCUAGUUGGCGGGGUAAAGGCCCACCAAGGCGACGAUCCGUAGCUGGUCUGAGAGGAUGAUCAGCCACACUGGAACUGGGAGACGGUCCAGACUCCUACGGGGGGCAGCAGUGGGGAAUAUUGGACAAUGGGCGCAAGCCUGAUCCAGCCAUACCGCGUGGGUGAAGAAGGCCUUCGGGUUGUAAAGCCCUUUUGUUGGGAAAGAAAAGCAGCAGGUUAAUACCCCGCUGUUCUGACGGUACCCAAAGAAUAAGCACCGGCUAACUUCG